AUUCGGCUUCAAGACGCGGCCAUCUUUGUUUACAUUCCAAUUAAGGGCACGGCCAUCUUUGUUUACGUUCGGCUUAAGGGCGCGGCCAUCUUUGUUUAUACUCGGCUCCGGGACGCCGCCAUCUUUGUUUAAAUUCUUUUUUCUUUGUUCAUACGAGGAACGGUUACUUGAGCUAAAUCUGUUCAGUCUCAAGCAAAGGAGACUGAGGGGGGACAUGAUCCAGGUAUAUAAGAUUCUAACAGGUUUGGAUGCUGUUCAACCAAAUAGUUACUUCAGCAUUAGUUUAAAUACACGAACUCGUGGCCAUAGGUGGAAAUUAGCGGGAGAACAUUUCAAGCUGGAUUUAAGGAAGCACUUCUUUACACAGCGCGUAGUCAGAGUAUGGAAUAGUCUUCCUGAUAACGUAGUGCAAGCUGAAUCCUUAGGUUCCUUUAAAUCAGAGUUAGAUAAGAUUUUAACAACUCUGAGCUAUUAGUUAAGUUCUCCCCAAGCGAGCUUGAUGGGCCGAAUGGCCUCCUCUCGUUUGUAUAGUUCUUAUGUUCAUUGCAGAAUAGAAACCCACAAAUGCAGCUCCCUCCACCAGCAACGCCAACCAGCUUAAGCGCUUCUAUGCUCAGUUUGAUAUGGACAAUAAAGAAACUGCCACAAAAUCCAUGCCCCUGAUGACCAGCCCCUUAUAAUUCCACCACCGUUGUGGGGUCCAUACUACAAAGAGUCAACGCAAGGUAAGCUGCAAAGUGCAGACAAAUUUACAACCUACCCUACCAGGGGGUUCAUUUGAAGCCGGCACCCGGCGAUAUUUCGCCGCCUGUGGGUAAGUACAUAGCCGGCUACUUUCAGUUGUUGAAAAAAAAAAUCUGCCUCUGUUACCAGAAUCAAACGAUCAGCACUCGGUGCCACAAUAAAAGAUUUAUUUUGCAGAAAUUUCCGUGUUCUGUCUAGGCGCAGCCAUCUUCAUCUUAGCUUGGCUUUCUUAAUUCUUAUCUUCGUUUUGAUUGGCUAUUUUUGGCAAGUUUUUAUUCUGCGUUUUCUGAUUGGCUGAUUGAGGCAAGUGGACAAAAUGGCGUCUAGAAAGCGAAGCAGCCUUCUUGACCAGUGGCUGCAACCGAGCGCGAAAUUGCCCAGGACUGAAGGAACUGAAGUUCCUCCUGUCAUCAGAAGCAGCACCAGCACCUGCCUGCCAUCACCUGCCCACUUUGAGACUCAAAUCUUAAAAUAUAGACAGUGUGAAUUGGGACCUUGACAUUUUGCUCAUAUCACUUCCUGUGCCGGCACUUGGAGGAUGGGCUUCCCCUUUGAGUCUGGUUCCUCCCAAGGUUUCUUCCUUCUAAGGAGUUUUUCCUUGCCACUGGUUUGCUCUCUGGGGGCUUUGGGCAGGGGAUAAGGUAAAGUGAUUUGAGACAAUGUAAUGUGAAAAUGCAUGACAGAAGUAAUGUUGAAUUGAAUUGAAAUUAAUCACACCAGCUUGUCUCAGCUGACAGCAGCUCUUACUUAUCUGAUGAGGGGUAAGGGGAGAAAGAUAUCACAUACCUUCUAGUCAACAUCAAAAUAAAUAUACAUAUAAUAAUGUAUUGGAAACUGGUAUAAUACUCACUAAAUGGGACCUAUUAUGCUUUUCCCUUUCUAUUAGUGUGUUUUAUGGCUUCAGGUGCAUGUAAACAGUCUGUAAAUUCUUAAGACGCAAAGUACAUAGCAAAGGGAGUAACUUUCACCACGGAAACCACUCUUCUCUCAUCUGCCUAAAACACCUCAUUGGAAUUCCAGCCCUUAUUUUCACAACACGAUGAGGUCUCUUCAUAACACAAUCCUUAUUGGCUGUCUACCUGCAAGGAUCUGUCUGCCAACUGCAAGACAGGGGAAUGAAGGAUCCCACAUCUCCAGCCCGCUGUUCCUGGGAAAAGCCACCUGCCAAUCAUCCUUGGAGCAGCAGGC
Brienomyrus brachyistius is the source of this 1932-nucleotide long non-coding RNA. RefSeq lists it as uncharacterized. The transcript has 3 exons. The record is from RefSeq and is a predicted model, not a curated record. Lineage: Eukaryota; Metazoa; Chordata; Actinopteri; Osteoglossiformes; Mormyridae.